AGUUUCUGACAUCAAAUCCAUGCUUAGACACUCCCACAGAGCAUCAGUAGCCUCUAAACCCAUUUCCAACAAACCAAGAAGAGAUCCAAACACUCAGACUCUCUUAAACACCUUGAUAGAUCUUCUGAAUAUAUCCCUCACAAUAAAGCCCCAAGAUCAACAACCAAACCUAAAACCACACUAUUCGUAAACCAGAUAGGGAGGGGGAGAGAAGCCCAAAACGCUAUCAGCAUAACAAGCCUUCCCCUGCCCUCUGGACAGGGGAUGUCGAUUGAAACUCUAAGCUUGGCUGUACCGAGAUCCAAAAAAAACUAGAAGAAGAAACACAGAGA
Molecule: unclassified non-coding RNA, 332 nt
Filed under: Hevea brasiliensis (rubber tree)
Lineage: Eukaryota; Viridiplantae; Streptophyta; Magnoliopsida; Malpighiales; Euphorbiaceae
Source: RNAcentral